This 336-nucleotide long non-coding RNA is filed under the name Nicotiana benthamiana. RNAcentral's name for it is "long non-coding RNA (NBEN_LNC013197)". The record is from RNAcentral. Lineage: Eukaryota; Viridiplantae; Streptophyta; Magnoliopsida; Solanales; Solanaceae.
AAAUACCCAAACCUCAUCGGCCGUUGGAGCCAUUCCAAACACCAUCAUCUUCUAACCAGACAACCACUAUAACCUCCUCAUCAUAUAUCUAUCACUGAUUUCUCUAAAAUCUUUACCCAUUUGCUCCAAUUUCAGAUCUAAAACCCUGAGAGAAAACCAAAACCCUAAAUUGUCCUUUUCCUUUCGAUUUAACCAAAAGUUUAUGCUAAUCGAUUGUUCGCGUUAGUUUUGAUUUAUUUCAAGACCGCUGGAUUUCGACCAAGUCAGUAAUGACAGGCCAAGCGUCGUCAAAUAUCAUCGUUCAUGAUUUGCCUUGUUUGUUCAAGCAUUUCCGGC